Molecule: ribosomal RNA, 435 nt
Filed under: uncultured Lachnospiraceae bacterium
Lineage: Bacteria; Bacillati; Bacillota; Clostridia; Lachnospirales; Lachnospiraceae
Description: partial 16S ribosomal RNA
Rfam family: Bacterial small subunit ribosomal RNA
Source: RNAcentral
ACGGGAGGCAGCAGUGGGGAAUAUUGCACAAUGGGGGGAACCCUGAUGCAGCGACGCCGCGUGAGCGAAGAAGUAUUUCGGUAUGUAAAGCUCUAUCAGCAGGGAAGAAACAGGACGGUACCUGCACAAGAAGCCCCGGCUAACUACGUGCCAGCAGCCGCGGUAAUACGUAGGGGGCGAGCGUUAUCCGGAUUUACUGGGUGUAAAGGGAGCGUAGACGGCUGUGCAAGUCUGGAGUGAAACUCCGGGGCUCAACCCUGGAACUGCUCUGGAAACUGUGUGGCUCGAGUACCGGAGGGGCAGGCGGAACUCCUAGUGUAGCGGUGAAAUGCGUAGAUAUUAGGAAGAACACCGGCGGCGAAGGCGGCCUGCUGGACGGUAACUGACGUUGAGGCUCGAAAGCGUGGGGAGCAAACAGGAUUAGAUACCCUGGUA